Molecule: ribosomal RNA, 492 nt
Filed under: uncultured bacterium
Lineage: Bacteria
Description: partial 16S ribosomal RNA
Rfam family: Bacterial small subunit ribosomal RNA
Source: RNAcentral
AGUGAACGCUGGCGGUAGGCCUAACACAUGCAAGUCGAACGGCAGCACAGUAAGAGCUUGCUCUUACGGGUGGCGAGUGGCGGACGGGUGAGGAAUACAUCGGAAUCUACUUUUUCGUGGGGGAUAACGUAGGGAAACUUACGCUAAUACCGCAUACGACCUACGGGUGAAAGCAGGGGAUCUUCGGACCUUGCGCGAUUGAAUGAGCCGAUGUCGGAUUAGCUAGUUGGCGGGGUAAAGGCCCACCAAGGCGACGAUCCGUAGCUGGUCUGAGAGGAUGAUCAGCCACACUGGAACUGAGACACGGUCCAGACUCCUACGGGAGGCAGCAGUGGGGAAUAUUGGGCAAUGGGCGCAAGCCUGAUCCAACCAUACCGCGUGGGUGAAGAAGGCCUUCGGGUUGUAAAGCCCUUUUGUUGGGAAAGAAAAGCAGCAGGUUAAUACCCCGCUGUUCUGACGGUACCCAAAGAAUAAGCACCGGCUAACUUCGUG